GUGGUGUCUCAGCAAUAAUUCUCUGCUCCCAGGCAUGAGUCCUUGGCUUCUUACCUCAAAAGCAUAGUAGUCUUCACGGUGGGAAAGUGAAGACCUUCCCCAGGGAUGACCCUUCCAAGCCUUUCCACCUCACAUCGUUGCUAGUCUGCAAAGCUGGCAUGACCCACAUCAUCAGUGAAGUGGACAGGCAGGAUCCAAGGUGAUCAAAAAGAAGUUGUGUAAGGUGUAACCAUUGCUGAGACACCACCAAUGCUGGCUGUGGGCAUUGUGAGACAGGUGGAAAUCCUUUGUAGGCCCUCUGCACCUUCAAGACUGUCUUUCCCUCACACAUCAGUGACAAGUAUAAAAGGUAUUUCUACAAAAACACAGAAAUGUAAAGAGAAGGCCUUCACCAAUACUGCAAGAAAUGGCAAGACAGCAUAGGCAAGAGACCACUGUAGGAGGACUUCAAUAACACAAAGAAUCACUGCCAAGGCAUCCACAUUAGUUGCCACCAACAGAUAUGUGUGCUCCCUCUGCUCCAGAAGAAGGUCAGCUUAAUGGAGAUGCCAGCUGAGUAUGUCACAGAGGCUGAGAAACUACACUGGGCCCUAGGGAGACUGUAAGAGAAAGAUGAGAUGAUAUCAUCAGGGUGACCAAAGGAAAUGCUACAAAGAGGACUCUAAUUGCUGGCCUGAAAAGAAGCUACUCUGUAAAACCCACCUAGGGUUAUCCAAGUUUUCUUGUAUUAGAGCCUGGCACCCUCCCUGUGUGACCUUCUCUGUAGCUUGAGCCAGCCAAAAGGACUAUCAUCUUAAAAAUCUAUAAGAUUUAUCAGGGGUAGCUUAUCAAGGGUGGCAAGCUGAUCAAGAACAAUGUUUCUGCAUGUUCAAAUAUGAUCUAUCUUACUAGAGCCUCAACUUACUCGGGGGCAUUGUCAGUUAUGUUGAAAUGACCAGUGACUUUGUGCUGCUGAAUGGCUGUGUGGUAGGAACCAAGAGGCAAAGGUUUCUGCAAAACCCUGCUGGUAUAAACCAAAUGAUGAGCUCUGGAGGAAACACAUGAACUUAUUUGACGCCAUCUCAGGAUUAUUGAUGGUCAUUUCCAGACCACAUAAGAGAAGACAGCAUUCAUGGGACCACCCAAGAAAGACCAGAUUGUCAAUGAAGAAGGUGCU
Molecule: long non-coding RNA, 1156 nt
Filed under: Mus musculus (house mouse)
Lineage: Eukaryota; Metazoa; Chordata; Mammalia; Rodentia; Muridae
Description: long non-coding RNA chr16:43184572-43185728
Source: RNAcentral